This 422-nucleotide ribosomal RNA is filed under the name uncultured bacterium. Its description in RNAcentral is "bacterial SSU rRNA". It matches the Rfam family "Bacterial small subunit ribosomal RNA", at positions 355 to 774 of the family's 1533-position model. The record is from RNAcentral.
UGAGGAAUAUUGGGCAAUGCCCGCAAGGGUGACCCAGCAACGCCGCGUGGAGGAUGAAUGUCGUAAGAUUGUAAACUCCUGUUAGAGGGGAAGAAUAGUACCGGUUGGACCGGUAUAUGACUGUACCCUCAGAGGAAGCCCCGGCUAACUACGUGCCAGCAGCCGCGGUAAUACGUAGGGGGCAAGCGUUGUCCGGAUUUACUGGGUGUAAAGGGCGCGCAGGCGGGAUAAAAAGUCAGUGGUGAAAUCCUACAGCUUAACUGUAGAACUGCCUUUGAUACUUUUAUUCUUGAGUUCGGGAGAGAGAGACGGAAUUCCAGGUGUAGUGGUGAAAUACGUAGAUAUCUGGAAGAACACCAGUUGCGAAGGCGGUCUCUUGGUCCGACACUGACGCUGAGGCGCGAAAGCGUGGGGAGCAAACA